CGCGCACCGCGUGGCCGAGCUCGCCGCCCUGAUCGGCGAGCGCCUGGACGGCGACGGCAAGGCGGGGCCGUUCGAAGCGGCCAUGCACCC
Molecule: transfer RNA, 90 nt
Filed under: Planotetraspora kaengkrachanensis
Lineage: Bacteria; Bacillati; Actinomycetota; Actinomycetes; Streptosporangiales; Streptosporangiaceae
Description: tRNA-Gln
Source: RNAcentral